Molecule: transfer RNA, 70 nt
Filed under: Macrocentrus camphoraphilus
Lineage: Eukaryota; Metazoa; Arthropoda; Insecta; Hymenoptera; Braconidae
Description: tRNA-Arg
Source: RNAcentral
AUUUAAGAAUCAUAUUAAUGAAUUCAAUUUCGACUUGAAAAUAAAGUUUAAAAUUUUAAACUCUUAAAUU